Molecule: long non-coding RNA, 661 nt
Organism: Gorilla gorilla gorilla (western lowland gorilla)
Lineage: Eukaryota; Metazoa; Chordata; Mammalia; Primates; Hominidae
Exons: 4
Source: RefSeq, a predicted model, not a curated record
GCUGAAGGUAAACAGGCUGUUGUGUUUCCUAGGUGCUGUUCGUUGCUGUGUGGCCGGUAGCCAUGUGAUGAGAUUGUCCCAGUGCUUCACAUGUUUCUGGCUCCGUGUUCAAUCCAUUUGCUGAACACAGUGAAAGUAUCCAGUAUGUCUUUCCACCGUACCCUAGAGUUGGCAUCUUGUUUACCAGAGGGGAGCGGGGUUGUAUCCUGUGAUCCGAAAUAUAAUGAGGUAGAUCUUCAGUGAGAGCAUCUGAGAGCUUGAGUUGUUUUUUCGGAAACCUGGACCUCCACCAAAUGGAAAAUGCCAUCUGCUGGCACGUAGACCUCAGAUAAAAGGGAACUGAGGACCAAACUCUGACCACUGUUCUUUGUUCUAAAUUUCUUCCUGAGGGCCCUGGAGAAGGACACGCCUGCAGGCCAGAACUUAACAUUCCUUUCUGCUGACCCCAAGUUUUUAGGCAAAGCCUUACUUCGUGAACCAAUUGCAAAUCAGAGAAUCUUUGAAUCCACCUAUGGCCUUUAAGCCCUCGCUUAAAUAUAUCCCACCUUUUUAGGCCAAACCAGUGUAUAACCUUCAUGUAUCAAUUUAUAAUUUUGCCUGUAACUUCUACUUUCCUGAAAUUUACCCCUGCAUUUAAAAACCCUUUCUGUAAACCAUCAGG